GGGGGCGUAAAGGUUUCGACGGGGAUUCUGACGGCGAAUAAGCGAGUAGAGAAAGCGCCAAUCUCUUAAAAUGACGCAACUUAAAAAUUAAACGACAAUAAUAGUUUAGAAUUGGCUGCUGCUUAAUAGCAGCCCGUCCUGCCGGUGAGUACUGCGGCACCGGUUUGGGCGUCGAUUAGCAGUGAACGCCGCGCGGCGACUCCGGUAGCCAUGCGGUGCAUUUCCGGAUACCGAGGCAUAGAGCUUGCUUGUCAGCGCUUGCCGAGGGAAGCUAAAGGAUAAGCUACACUCGUAGAAGGUUUUCCGAAGGGGUUUUCGGACACGGGUUCGACUCCCGUCGCCUCCACCA
RNAcentral lists this transfer-messenger RNA (349 nucleotides) under Oscillospiraceae. RNAcentral describes it as "Faeciplasma pullistercoris Standard tmRNA". It matches the Rfam family "transfer-messenger RNA". From Rfam's summary of the family: Bacterial tmRNA, also known as 10Sa RNA or SsrA, is named for its dual tRNA and mRNA-like properties. Its role is to liberate the mRNA from a stalled ribosome. Lineage: Bacteria; Bacillati; Bacillota; Clostridia; Eubacteriales. The record is from RNAcentral. RNAcentral also lists the same sequence under 2 other names.